ACGGGGGAAGCUGUAACCCUUGUGACCAGGAAUGAUUGGCGGAAUGCAUCUGAAUUGAUUGACAUUUUGGAAAGAGGAAACCAGGUAAUUCCCGAAGAACUUAUUUCAAUGGCGGAAAGAUACAAGCAGUUUCAGAUGAAAAAA
This is a long non-coding RNA of Lacerta agilis (Sand lizard), 144 nucleotides long. RefSeq lists it as uncharacterized. The record is from RefSeq and is a predicted model, not a curated record. The transcript is spliced from 2 exons. NCBI's taxonomy places the organism in Eukaryota, Metazoa, Chordata, Lepidosauria, Squamata, Lacertidae.